Small nuclear RNA from Phyllostomus discolor (pale spear-nosed bat), 102 nucleotides. The record is from RefSeq and is a predicted model, not a curated record. NCBI's taxonomy places the organism in Eukaryota, Metazoa, Chordata, Mammalia, Chiroptera, Phyllostomidae.
UUACUUCAGCAGCAAAUAUACUAAAAUUAGAACACAAAGGAGAAGAUCAGCAUGGGCCCUGUGCAAGGAUCAUAGAAAAUGCAUGAAGGGUUCCAUAUUUUU